CGGGGCAUAGCGCAGUCUGGUAGCGCGCCUGCUUUGGGAGCAGGAUGUCGGGGGUUCAAAUCCCUCUGCCCCGACCA
Molecule: transfer RNA, 77 nt
Filed under: Methylohalobius crimeensis
Lineage: Bacteria; Pseudomonadati; Pseudomonadota; Gammaproteobacteria; Methylococcales; Methylothermaceae
Also listed under: 13 other names
Description: tRNA-Pro
Rfam family: tRNA
About the family: Transfer RNA (tRNA) molecules are approximately 80 nucleotides in length. Their secondary structure includes four short double-helical elements and three loops (D, anti-codon, and T loops).
Source: RNAcentral